GCGGGUAUGGUUUAGUGGCAGAAUGCGUCCUUGCCAAGGACGAGACGGCGGUUCAAUUCCGCCUACCCGCA
RNAcentral lists this transfer RNA (71 nucleotides) under bacterium. RNAcentral's name for it is "tRNA-Gly". It matches the Rfam family "tRNA". From Rfam's summary of the family: Transfer RNA (tRNA) molecules are approximately 80 nucleotides in length. Their secondary structure includes four short double-helical elements and three loops (D, anti-codon, and T loops). The record is from RNAcentral. RNAcentral also lists the same sequence under 1 other name.